This 413-nucleotide long non-coding RNA is filed under the name Eucalyptus grandis. Its description in RNAcentral is "long non-coding RNA (EGRA_LNC002491)". The record is from RNAcentral. Lineage: Eukaryota; Viridiplantae; Streptophyta; Magnoliopsida; Myrtales; Myrtaceae.
UUUUGUUUUGUCUCAUAAAAAAUAACAAACUUUCACUCCUAUCCAAAAUCUAACCCUUACCAUUAACUUUCUAUUUGAAGUUAACCUUAUUUCAAGAGAAAAGGUUCUAGCUGUGAGGUUGGUGGAUCUCAUCCAUGGUUUCUGUUAACAGGCGGUGAUCUACAGUUUCAUAUUACGACAAAACAAUAAAGUCUAGCGAGAGAAAUUCAAUCGGGAGAUUUUUUUUACUUGCUAGUGAAGUAUAGGAGAUGGCAUAGUUUCACUAUUAUUCUUCAAGCUAUGGCUCAAACAAGAAGAAAAUGGAUGGUGUUAGCCAACAAGUGCACAUGGAUUAAGGACAAUCAAUGAAUAUAAGUUAAGGGUGGCCAGAUUUAGAAUUUAAGUGAAAGUUGAUGAUUUUUUUUCCAAACAAA